Molecule: ribosomal RNA, 253 nt
Filed under: uncultured bacterium
Lineage: Bacteria
Description: partial 16S ribosomal RNA
Rfam family: Bacterial small subunit ribosomal RNA
Source: RNAcentral
GACAGAGGGUGCAAACGUUGCUCGGAAUCACUGGGCGUAAAGCGCAUGUAGGCGGCAGCGCAAGUCGGGCGUGAAAUCCCACGGCUCAACCGUGGAAGUGCACUCGAAACUGCGCAGCUAGAGUCCUGGAGAGGAAGGUGGAAUGCUUGGUGUAGAGGUGAAAUUCGUAGAUAUCAAGCGGAACACCGGUGGCGAAGGCGGCCUUCUGGACAGUGACUGACGCUGAGAUGCGAAAGCGUGGGGAGCAAACAGG